GACGAACGCUGGCGGCGUGCCUAAUACAUGCAAGUUGAGCGCUGAAGGUUGGUACUUGUACCAACUGGAUGAGCAGCGAACGGGUGAGUAACGCGUGGGGAAUCUGCCUUUUAGCGGGGGACAACAUUUUGAAACGAAUGCUAAUACCGCAUAAAAACUUUAAACACAAGGUUUAAGUUUGAAAGAUGCAAUUGCAUCACUCAAAGAUGAUCCCGCGUUGUAUUAGCUAGUUGGUGAGGUAAAGGCUCACCAAGGCGAUGAUACAUAGCCGACCUGAGAGGGUGAUAGGCCACAUUGGGAAUGAGACACGGCCCAAACUCCUACGGGAGGCAGCAGUAGGGAAUCUUCGGCAAUGGACGAAAGUCUGACCGAGCAACGCCGCGUGAGUGAAGAAGGUCUUCGGAUCGUAAAACUCUGUUGGUAGAGAAGAACGUUGGUGAGAGUGGAAAGCUCAUCAAGUGACGGUAACUACCCAGAAAGGGACGGCUAACUACGUG
This 497-nucleotide ribosomal RNA is filed under the name uncultured bacterium. RNAcentral describes it as "partial 16S ribosomal RNA". It matches the Rfam family "Bacterial small subunit ribosomal RNA", at positions 28 to 507 of the family's 1533-position model. The record is from RNAcentral.